Molecule: unclassified non-coding RNA, 326 nt
Filed under: Basidiomycota sp.
Lineage: Eukaryota; Fungi; Basidiomycota
Description: partial contains small subunit ribosomal RNA, internal transcribed spacer 1, and 5.8S ribosomal RNA
Rfam family: Eukaryotic small subunit ribosomal RNA (bases 1-47)
Source: RNAcentral
AAAGUCGUAACAAGGUUUCCGUAGGUGAACCUGCGGAAGGAUCAUUAUUGAAUAAAUCUGGCGUAGGUUGUAGCUGGCUCUCUGGAGCAUGUGCACGCCUCGUCACCUUUAUCUUUCCACCUGUGCACACACUGUAGUCCUGGAUACCUCUCGCUGAAAGGCGGAUGCGGAGGUCGCUGUUGCCCCCUCAAAGGGCUCGGCUUCCUCUGAAUUUCCAGGUCUAUGCUUUUUUUUACACACCCCAAACGAAUGUUAUAGAAUGUCAUCAUUGGGCCUUUGUGCCUAUAAACCUAAUACAACUUUCAACAACGGAUCUCUUGGCUCUC